RNAcentral lists this ribosomal RNA (930 nucleotides) under Triticum aestivum (bread wheat). RNAcentral's name for it is "partial small subunit ribosomal RNA". The record is from RNAcentral. Lineage: Eukaryota; Viridiplantae; Streptophyta; Magnoliopsida; Poales; Poaceae.
CCAGCAUUAGGAAUGCUUGCUUCAUAUAUGGUGCAUGGAGAUUAUGCAUGUCCACCUUGUGGUGCAAAUGUAUGGACCAAGCGCUUGAAGUAUGGCAAGAAAGCUUGUUUUAUGGGUCACCGCCGAUUUUUGCCACCUGAUCAUGAAUUUCGUAAUGAUGCUUCUGCUUUUGAUGGAACAACUGAGAAUAGAACAGAGCCUAUAACCUAUUAUGGUCGUUCCGUAUUAGAUGACAUAGCUGCAUGUGGAGAUUUUAGUACCUCAAAAACUUACAAAGGAAAAAGUAGUUUAUUCACAUUACCAUAUUGGGACAGUAAUCUACUUCGACAUAAUCUGGAUGUGAUGCAUAUAGAGAAGAAUGUGUGUGAUAAUAUUUUUGGCACACUUCUCAAUUUGGAUGGGAAGUCAAAAGAUAAUGUACAGGCUCGUCAAGAUCUUGAAGAUAUGAAUAUUAGAGGGGAGCUCCAUCCACAAAAAAAACCUUCAGGCAAGUAUUACUUGCCACCAGCUAUCUUUACCAUGUCUAAGGAAGAAAAGCAAUUAUUCUACAAAGUUAUUCAUGGUAUAAAAGUUCUUGAUGGAUAUUGUGGAAAUAUAUCGAAGUGUGUGAAUUUUACUGAAGGAAAAAUUAGUGGCCUCAAAACACAUGAUUGUCAUGUCCUAUUACAUCAAUUUCUGCCAAUUGCUGCGAGAGGUAUUCUUCCAGGUGAUGUUACAGCAGUAUUAUUUGAAUUGUCUUCAUAUUUUCGAGGCAUAUGUUCAAAAGUUCUUCAUGUUGAUGAGCUUGACCGUUUGGAAGAAAGAAUCAAACUUACACUCUGCAAAAUGGAGAUGAUAUUUCCUCCUGGUUUUUUCACUGUUAUGGUGCACUUAGUUGUCCAUUUAGCAAGUGAAUGUAAAAUAGCAGGACCAGUUACAUAUCGGUGGAUG